AAGGAAUUGACGGGCCGCACAAGCGGUGGAGUAUGUGGUUUAAUUCGAUGCAACGCGAAGAACCUUACCUGGUCUUGACAUCCCGGAGACCCUUAGGAAACUAGGGGGUGCUUCCAUCUGGAAGAAUCUGGAGACAGGUGCUGCAUGGCUGUCGUCAGCUCGUGUCGUGAGAUGUUGGGUUAAGUCCCGCAACGAGCGCAACCCUUGCCUUUAGUUGCCAGCAGUUCGGCUGGGCACUCUAAAGGGACUGCCGGUGUUAAACCGGAGGAAGGUGGGGAUGACGUCAAGUCCUCAUGGCCUUUAUGACCAGGGCUACACACGUACUACAAUGGCCGAUACAAAGGGCAGCGACACUGCGAGGUGAAGCCAAUCCCGUAAAAUCGGUCUCAGUCCGGAUUGGAGUCUGCAACUCGACUCCAUGAAGUUGGAAUCGCUAGUAAUCGUGGAUCAGCAUGCCACGGUGAAUACGUUCCCGGGCCUU
RNAcentral lists this ribosomal RNA (481 nucleotides) under uncultured Desulfobulbus sp. Its description in RNAcentral is "bacterial SSU rRNA". It matches the Rfam family "Bacterial small subunit ribosomal RNA", at positions 904 to 1382 of the family's 1533-position model. The record is from RNAcentral. Lineage: Bacteria; Pseudomonadati; Thermodesulfobacteriota; Desulfobulbia; Desulfobulbales; Desulfobulbaceae.